GAAACUUAUCGUUUGUCGAACCGUGUCUCGGCUAACUGCAUUUUUCGUUAUCGUUUUCGCGAGAGCUGCGUACCGCUUACGAAAUGGAAACGAAAAUUUUUUUCGCGAGCAUUUCGCGACGUUUUUUAUGCAUAGGUUUUGUAUAGGAAAUUUCAUUUCGCAAGAGGUGCAUACUUAGCUGAAGAAGGAAAAAUAUUUCGCGACCUCAUUUCGCAAGAGGUGCAUACUAAGCUUUAAGCGGUACGCAGCUCUCGCGAAAACGAUAACGAAAUUUGCAGUUAGCCGAGACACGGUUCGACAAACGAUAAGUUUCGUAUUACUUCCGCGAGAUAGCGCUGCUUUCUAUGCGCUGUCACCACGGCAAGCUUUCUCCUUGCGAAAUAAUGAUCAGUGGUAUUAUUCCGCUGCGGAGGCUCGCGAAAUUUUGACAGACUGCGAUAAAAAAUACAAAAAAACAAGAUUUGUGUAUUUUUUCAUCGCAAGCUGUCAAAAUGUCUUAAUAUAGAAUUUGCUUUUGUUAUGCAAUAUUUGAAAUUCGAAUGUAUGUAAUGAUUAUUUACAGUGCGCCCAAACAAACCCGGAUUCAGUCGCAACGGCAGAGGAUUGUACAGCUGGAGAAAGGAAAAAAAUCGUUCCGACUUACUAUUUUUCAAAACUGCUAGAGCAGUCUUUUCCGUUAGUGGUAGAAGCAGGAAACAUCGAUCUACCUCAGCAGUUUGCCUCAAUAACAACAACGUAUGACCUAGUUUACAUCCGCAACUAGUGCAAACGAUCCAAGCCAAUCAGGGCAGAUGUAGAAGACCAUUGGCCAACUUUGGCAGUUGUAGCAGCAAACAAAUCAGAACUAUGAUCACCCAUCCGCAGAAAACGAUACAGCUACAGCACCGGUCAAGUAGCAUACGAUACUGUACAAUGCCGCGUGCAGGAGAUCCUUUAAUUCAGUUGGUGCAGCAAGAUCGAGCAGCAACCAUAGCGGAUACAGAUCCAGUGGACACAUCACCGAACACCAUCAACCAUCCAGCAGAAGAACGCGGUGAUAAUGGGUCAGCAGUAAACACAACGGCAAAAUGCUUGGAAAGGACUUUCUCUCGAACAAACAUAACGGAAGCCUACACGCACGACAUGUUCAAUCGGGCCAACCGUGUGACUCGUUUGGAAAAAGCGCUCAUCAUCGGUUUCAUGGCAGCGAGAUGAGCAGACAAAAGAAGGCAUCGUUUUUUCAGCAAGGUCGCUCUGGGCAAAAUUUCUGCGAAUUGCGAGGAAUAAACCACCGAAGGGACAGUACCCGUGCUGAAUCAGGCCGUUUUCCCAUACAUUGCUGCUAUUUAAUUUUAAUACCCGGUCGAAACGAUGGCAUUUCUGCACUCACUUCAAAAAAAUUUAAUUCACCAGCGACGGUUACUCCUGUAGAAACGGCUGCACUGCAGUUUUGAGCUCGCGGUAGCUACAAAAAUUCUGACUAGCGGCUCCUGAAGAAAAACAAGCUGCAUGCGAAAUUGGAGAAACAGCUUCCUCCACGGAUGAUGCAGAGGAAUUCAACAUGGCGGAUGCAAGUUUGCAAUUGAAAAUUAUUCGCAAAGUUCAGGUAGAAUCAAAACUUGAUCUGGAGGUGCAGCGAUAGGAUCCUUCUUCGCCGCUAUACUCAGUUAAAACUUUAGAAGCUUUACACCUAAAGCCGGAACUGCUUCAGGGAGUCUGUGUUUCAACGCCCCUUCCAAGAUUCAGGAGACGGCUCUACAUACUCUGUUGGCCGAUCCGCCACAGAACAUGAUCGCCCAGUCAGUCGGUAACAGGAAAAACCAAUGCUUUCGUGCUGGCAGUUCUCAGUUGAGUCCGUUAAAAAACUCCUCAGGUGAUGUGCCUUUCCCCCACGCAUGAACUGGCAAUUCAGAAGGGGGAAGUAGCUGCCAAAAUGGCAAAGUUUUGUCCGGAAAUCAAACUUCGUUACGCCGUUCGCGGUGGGGAGAUCGUCAAAAGUGCGAAGCUGAUCAUCAGAACACCCGGCAAGCUGAUGGGCUGCAAUAUAAAGUUCCGGGCUUUCGACCUUAAGAAGAUUGCCGUUUUUGUACUGAUUUUUGCACGUUAUGAUUCAUCCGGAUACACAAGCAGCUGUCGUCGUCUUGCCAGAUGAUGUUCUCGGUCACAUACGAGCGGGAAGUGAUUGAGUACGCCGUAACCAAUCCCAUCGUGAUUCGGCUGGCGCGGGAGCAAGAAUCACUCGAUAACACCAAAAAGUACUACGUCAUAUGCCACUACCAGGACGAGAAAUAUCAAGCAAUUUCGAACAUUACCGUGAUUACCAUCGGACAAGCGAUCAUUUUCAAUCAUGAGUGUAGGACAGUGGGGAGCAAGGCGCCGGUAAACAAACAAUUAAAUGCAAUAGUUUCAGUACAAACAUCUUAUGUCAUGUUUCAACAUAGUACCCAACCCCCAGAUGUCAAAUUGUUACAUUUUGUCAUCCCCUCUAAAAGUGUUACAUAAUUUAUUAACGGUCCCUAAAUUUAUGUAUUUCAACAGCAGCUUAUACAGAUCAUGAAUAUGUAUAGAAGAAGGUGUUUUAUGUUUUAUUUAAAAAAAAUUCAAAACCCUCCGCCUCUGUUGGUCUUAUUAGGAAGGAGCCGCAGUUCGCAUCAAGUUAGGCACCAAAAUCCAGGCACCAAAUUUUUUUUUUUGGUAUUCCCUUUACCACCGGUGGAGCCACUAUGGAAAAGUAGUGAAAGCUUCAGGCACAAAAUUUUGGUGUCAAGUUAGGCACCCAAAUUCAGGCACCAAAUAUUUUUUGCUGUUUGUCCUUAGAUUUAGAUUGUAAUUAUUUACGAUAUGCUGUACAAAAUCGAAUAUGUACUAUAUGGACCUCAAAA
Long non-coding RNA from Topomyia yanbarensis, 2861 nucleotides. RefSeq lists it as uncharacterized. NCBI's taxonomy places the organism in Eukaryota, Metazoa, Arthropoda, Insecta, Diptera, Culicidae. The record is from RefSeq and is a predicted model, not a curated record. The transcript has 6 exons.